GCUCAACCGGGGAGGGUCAUUGGAAACUGGGGAACUUGAGUGCAGAAGAGGAGAGUGGAAUUCCACGUGUAGCGGUGAAAUGCGUAGAGAUGUGGAGGAACACCAGUGGCGAAGGCGACUCUCUGGUCUGUAACUGACGCUGAGGCGCGAAAGCGUGGGGAGCGAACAGGAUUAGAUACCCUGGUAGUCCACGCCGUAAACGAUGAGUGCUAAGUGUUAGAGGGUUUCCGCCCUUUAGUGCUGCAGCAAACGCAUUAAGCACUCCGCCUGGGGAGUACGGUCGCAAGACUGAAACUCAAAGGAAUUGACGGGGGCCCGCACAAGCGGUGGAGCAUAUGGUUUAAUUCGAAGCAACGCGAAGAACCUUACCAGGUCUUGACAUCCUCUGACAACCCUAGAGAUAGGGCUUCCCCUUCGGGGGCAGAGUGACAGGUGGUGCAUGGUUGUCGUCAGCUCGUGUCGUGGGAUGUUGGGUUAAGUCCCGCAACGAGCGCAACCCUUGAUCUUAGUUGCCAGCAUUCAGUUGGGCACUCUAAGGUGACUGCCGGUGACAAACCGGAGGAAGGUGGGGAUGACGUCAAAUCAUCAUGCCCCUUAUGACCUGGGCUACACACGUGCUACAAUGGGCAGAACAAAG
Molecule: ribosomal RNA, 637 nt
Filed under: uncultured bacterium
Lineage: Bacteria
Description: bacterial SSU rRNA
Rfam family: Bacterial small subunit ribosomal RNA
Source: RNAcentral